RNAcentral lists this transfer RNA (57 nucleotides) under Ovis aries (sheep). It matches the Rfam family "tRNA", at positions 8 to 63 of the family's 71-position model. Rfam says of the family: Transfer RNA (tRNA) molecules are approximately 80 nucleotides in length. Their secondary structure includes four short double-helical elements and three loops (D, anti-codon, and T loops). The record is from Rfam by way of RNAcentral. Lineage: Eukaryota; Metazoa; Chordata; Mammalia; Artiodactyla; Bovidae.
UGGCUCAGAGGUUAAAGCAUCUGCCUGCAAUGCAGGAGACCCGAGUUCGAUCCCUGG